CUAAGAUUCCUUUAGUAGCGGCGAGCGAAACAGGAAAAGCCCAGCACUAAGCCCUCCAGUCGUCCUGGCUGGUAGGGGAUGCAGUGUAUGGGAAGUCUAUUAUCUUAUAUGACGGUAGCACGUUCAAGUCCAUCUUGAAUGGGGCCAUUUAACCCAUAGAGGGUGCCAGGCCCGUAGCAACUGUUACCAGUAUAAGAAGAUUUUUCCGAAGAGUCGUGUUGCUUGAUAGUGCAGCACUAAGUUGGUGGUAAACUCCAUCUAAGGCUAAAUAUAACC
RNAcentral lists this ribosomal RNA (276 nucleotides) under Bolitophila cinerea. Its description in RNAcentral is "partial 28S ribosomal RNA". It matches the Rfam family "Eukaryotic large subunit ribosomal RNA", at positions 69 to 327 of the family's 3401-position model. Lineage: Eukaryota; Metazoa; Arthropoda; Insecta; Diptera; Mycetophilidae. The record is from RNAcentral.